CGGGGCGCGCCCUGCCCGGCGCCCGGCGGCCCCCACGUCCCGCCCCGGGAAGUGGGUUACUCGUCAGCUCACCGUGGUAAGUCCGGAGGCUGCAAAAGUCCUGGUAAAAACCGAGCCACAUCCCUUUAAAAAAGAAAAGUGGGACUGGGGAUGUGGCUCAAGCGGUAACGCGCUCCCGUGGCCUGCGCGGGGCGCUGGGUUCGAUCCUGAGCACCACAUAAAAUGAAGAUGUUGUGCCCACCCAAAACUGAAAAAUAAACAUUAAAUAAUAUUCUCUCUCUCUCUCCCUCUCUCUCUCUCUCUCUCUCUCUCUCUCUCUCUCUCUCUCUCAAAAAAAAAAAAAAGAAAAGAAAAGAAAAGAGAAAAAAGAAGAGUGUGUGUGAGGGGCAAGCCUGUAGUCCCAGUCACUCCGGAAUGACUCCAGAGGAGCAGGAGUUGGAGCCUGGGCAAUACUGCAAGACCCGGCCUGGGGCGGGGACCCCUCUCGGAUGAGGAAAAGCGAGAACGGCCUUACAGGCAGCAGACGUUGUGCUGGACCUCGUCGGUCUUCUCCGUGGAGAGCAGGUAGCUUCACUCAUCUACCCCAGUUCCCUCGCAAGUCCACCCUCCACCCAGGGAGGCUGGGGUUGUUCAGUGCAGCAGCAGUGGGAGCAGCCUCUGCCGCAGAGGCUGGAGUUACUACUGCUUUCCGGUAGUUUGUAGACAGAAGCAGGGUUGCUCCAGCUCACAGUCCUGCCCCCCAGCUCAGGGAUGAGCUUUAUCCCUGCCGGGAGGAACUGAGACCGAGGAGGGCAGCUGUGGGGCAUGGUGCCCCUGGUUCUGGUCUCUGUGGAAAGACUCUGGAAAUGGCCACUUUGCUCAAAGAGGGCACCAUGAUGAUAGAGCCUAUAACUGGGGGCUCGCAAGUGGGAACUCCAGACCACCUCUUUUAACCCUAUCCAAGCCUGGAGGUGGGUGGUCUACAGGUGGGGUGGCCCAUCAACUUCACAAAGAUCACAUCACCAAUAAGGAGUGAAGCAAGAUUGCAACCCCGCUCUGGGUGACUUGGUGCCUGGUGCUCAUCCUCUCCAGACCUGUUCAUACUGGAGGGGAAUUCACUGAGCUGGGAUUCUUAGGCUGCUGGUCUGAUGGUCUGAUUGUCCCUCCCUGGCCCCUGUCCUGAAGACUCUUUUCCACCUGGCCCUUCUCCCUGCUUCUCUCCUGCCUGCCCUUGUGGUCUUCUGGCAAGCCCAGGACUGGGCCACAACCAAGGAGAAUGAACAGAGAGGCCUUCAGGGGGCACCUUUUCCUGCUCAGCCACCCCACCAGCUGCUCCUUCAGGUCUCCUGCUUCUGGACCCUGUAGUGCUCUGACUGUGCCCUGGACCCUUUUACCCCUCUGUCCUUGCUCACUCCUUUUCUGGAUGCCUUCAGGCAGGUGACUCUGAGAAACAACUCUGUCAAUGGCUCCCCAGUGCUGCCUCACUCACUCCUCAUGACUCGGAGGCUGACAUCCGGCGCUCUUCUUGACAUCACCCCUGGGAUGUCUGAUCAGCCAUUCACACUCAACAUGUCCAAGUGGGCACUCAGCCUCUUCAAAGCUGUACCACCCUGAAUGGCAGCUGCACCUGUCCCCAACCCCUUUCCUCCCAAGUCCACUCUCAGCUCAGCAGCCACAGCCAUCCUGGGAGAAAGAAGCCUGUUGCAGACUCCACCUCAGGGCUCCCUCGCCAGUCUCUCUCCUUGGUUCCCAACAGGCCAGGCCGCACCCUCAGCCCUUGCUCCCCAGUCUCCUCCACGGCUUCCUCCUGCACUGGUUGUGGUGAUCCUUCCCUCAUGCUCAGCUUGAGCACUGUCUGGUGCCCCCCAUCUUGUAUGUUUUCACUUAUUGUCUGUCCUCCCACUACCACCAGAAGCUAGGAGCUGCAGGCGAGCUAUCUGUUGUCUUCCUUCACUGGUCCUGGGCCCUGGACACAGACCACUAGUUUCAUGGACUGAAGAAGGGUUGAAUGCCCAGGCAAGGCCAGGGCUGAGAGGAAGACCGUGCGCUUAGCACAUGUCAGUACCAACUGUCGACCUGAGCCUGCACUUGUGCAAGUAGUGAGUCCUGGUCCAGCUCCAAGGAGAGCCAGAUAACCCCAUACUUGACUCACAAUUUAAGGUCGUGCUCUCUCUAACUGGUAUAUGUCAUGACCAUAUCUCCACUCAUUCAACAAUGCAUUUAUUACUGGGCUGGGGAUGUGGCUCAAGCGGUAGCACGCUCGCCUGGCAUGCGUGCGGCCCGGGUUCAAUCCUCAGCACCACAUACAAACAAAGAUGUUGUGUCUGCCGAGAACUAAAAUAAAUAAAUAAAUAUUUUUUUAAAAAACAAUGCAUUUAUUGAGCACCAACUGUGUACCAUGUUCUGACUGAGCACCAAAAUAUGGUGCUGAGAAGACAGACAAGAUCCCAGCACCCAGGAGGGCAGACAGACACUAAGCAAAGAAGCAAACUAAUCAGGGAUGUGUUGAGACUCUUUCAUGUUGUGCAGGGAGCAGUUGUUGACUCUUUUUAUUGCUAUUGAUAAACAUCUGGGCUGUUGCCACUGUUUGAUAUUACAAAUAAAACUGCUAGAACAUUUGUGUGCAAGUCUUUGUGUGGACAUACGC
Molecule: long non-coding RNA, 2626 nt
Filed under: Marmota monax (woodchuck)
Lineage: Eukaryota; Metazoa; Chordata; Mammalia; Rodentia; Sciuridae
Source: RNAcentral